UACGUAGGGGGCAAGCGUUGUCCGGAAUCAUUGGGCGUAAAGCGCGCGCAGGCGGUUCUUUAAGUCUGAUGUUAAAUCUUGCGGCUCAACCGCAAGCGGUCAUUGGAAACUGGGGGACUUGAGUACAGAAGGGGAAAGCGGAAUUCCACGUGGAGCGGUGAAAUGCGUAGAUAUGUGGAGGAACACCAGUGGCGAAGGCGGCUCUCUGGUCUGUAACUGACGCUGAGGCGCGAAAGCUUGGGGAGCAAACAGG
This 253-nucleotide unclassified non-coding RNA is filed under the name uncultured Caryophanales bacterium. RNAcentral's name for it is "uncultured Bacillales bacterium contains 16S-23S intergenic spacer region". It matches the Rfam family "Bacterial small subunit ribosomal RNA", at positions 524 to 776 of the family's 1533-position model. The record is from RNAcentral. Lineage: Bacteria; Bacillati; Bacillota; Bacilli; Caryophanales.